UCGAGAGUCCAAGUCCAGGCCCUUCCCCUC
Molecule: non-coding RNA, 30 nt
Filed under: Homo sapiens (human)
Lineage: Eukaryota; Metazoa; Chordata; Mammalia; Primates; Hominidae
Source: RNAcentral